This is a small nucleolar RNA of Humulus lupulus (European hop), 106 nucleotides long. The record is from RefSeq and is a predicted model, not a curated record. Lineage: Eukaryota; Viridiplantae; Streptophyta; Magnoliopsida; Rosales; Cannabaceae.
AUCCCAUGGUGGGGACAUUUCCUUUCAAGCUCCUUGAAAAUUCCCACGCAUCAUAAACACAUUCCCCAUCUAGCUGAUAAAAAAUAUUAAUUUCACCCCUAAACUU